GACAGAGGUGCCGGGCGUUAGGCGGAAUCACUGGGCUUAAAGCGUGUGUAGGCGGACGGGUAAGUACCUUGUGAAAUCCCACGGCUCAACCGUGGAACUGCUGGGUAUACUGCCUGUCUUGAGUCAUUUAGGGGCGAGCGGAACAAAUGGUGGAGCGGUGAAAUGCGUAGAUAUCAUUUGGAACGCCAAUGGUGAAAACAGCUCGCUGGGGAUGUACUGACGCUGAGACACGAAAGCGUGGGGAGCAAACAGG
RNAcentral lists this ribosomal RNA (253 nucleotides) under uncultured bacterium. Its description in RNAcentral is "partial 16S ribosomal RNA". It matches the Rfam family "Bacterial small subunit ribosomal RNA", at positions 524 to 776 of the family's 1533-position model. The record is from RNAcentral.